Molecule: ribosomal RNA, 797 nt
Filed under: uncultured bacterium
Lineage: Bacteria
Description: bacterial SSU rRNA
Rfam family: Bacterial small subunit ribosomal RNA
Source: RNAcentral
AUACAUGCAGUCGAGCGCUUCUUUUCUACCGAGUGCUUGCACUCAUUUGAAAAGAGGAGCGGCGGACGGGUGAGUAACACGUGGGUAACCUGCCCAUCAGAGGGGGAUAACACUUGGAAACAGGUGCUAAUACCGCAUAAUAGUCGACACCGCAUGGUGUUGAUUUGAAAGACGCUUUCGGGUGUCACUGAUGGAUGGACCCGCGGUGCAUUAGCUAGUUGGUGAGGUAACGGCUCACCAAGGCGAUGAUGCAUAGCCGACCUGAGAGGGUGAUCGGCCACACUGGGACUGAGACACGGCCCAGACUCCUACGGGGAGGCAGCAGUAGGGAAUCUUCGGCAAUGGACGAAAGUCUGACCGAGCAACGCCGCGUGAGUGAAGAAGGUUUUCGGAUCGUAAAACUCUGUUGUUAGAGAAGAACAAGUAGGAGAGUAACUGCUCUUACCUUGACGGUAUCUAACCAGAAAGCCACGGCUAACUACGUGCCAGCAGCUGCGGUAAUACGUAGGUGGCAAGCGUUGUCCGGAUUUAUUGGGCGUAAAGCGAGCGCAGGCGGUUUCUUAAGUCUGAUGUGAAAGCCCCCGGCUCAACCGGGGAGGGUCAUUGGAAACUGGGAGACUUGAGUGCAGAAGAGGAGAGUGGAAUUCCAUGUGUAGCGGUGAAAUGCGUAGAUAUAUGGAGGAACACCAGUGGCGAAAGCGACUCUCUGGUCUGUAACUGACGCUGAGGCUCGAAAGCGUAGGAGCAAACAGGAUUAGAUACCCUGGUAGUCCACGCCGUAAACGAUGAGUGCUAGU